This 318-nucleotide ribosomal RNA is filed under the name Triticum aestivum (bread wheat). RNAcentral describes it as "partial small subunit ribosomal RNA". The record is from RNAcentral. Lineage: Eukaryota; Viridiplantae; Streptophyta; Magnoliopsida; Poales; Poaceae.
AUGGCCGGCUUCCCAGGGGCCGGCGGCUAUGACGCCAUGGCUGGAUACGGCGAUGAUGAGGACGAUGAGGCCAUGAAGAGCCUCUACGCCGGCGUGGCCCCCGCCCCGCGGAGGAGGAGGAGGAGGUCGAUGAGGGUGCACUACAUGGGGACGCUGGCGGAUGACACCAAGUUCGACUACAGCCGGGAUCACGACGCCCCGUUUAGGUUCAUUGAUGACAGCCAAGGGUUCAUGCUCGGAAACGACUACAUCUUGCUCCAUGUUGUCGGCUCAACUAAAGUCCUUAAUCAUGAGGAGAUGGGACACGUCGAUUGUUAG